AGACCCUGUCUUUAUUUAAAAUUAAGGAAAAAUAAAGAUACGAUACUGUAUGCAGAUUUAAAUCAUUUUGAGCAAGUCGUAUUUUCUUGCCACCUUGGAAGAGUCAAUUAACAUUUAUUGCUGGCCACAUGGCAGACAAUAUGCUCAAUGCUUCAUGGGCAUUAUCUCAUUUCUGUUUUAAAUUACAAAAUGAAGUCUAUGGAUGUUGAAAAUUUUGAAAGAUAUAGAAAAACACAGGAUAAAAAUUGAGAGGCUCUCGUCUCUUCUGCCUUCCCUUACCUUCUCUCUCACUGCUCUCUUUCCCUACAGCUUACCCUAGUGGUACAUGUAUGGUUGUGUGCCGGAUAUGUAUGUGUGUGUUUGUGGGUAGCUGUGUGUACAUACACACAUAACCAUACAAACAAGACCAUAGCUAUUUAUUGUAUUAAGACUUUUCCCCCCUUUUUAAUAGUGUAAUUUGGAUAUUUUCCUGCCUUCUACCAAAUACAUAAAUAUCAUGUUUCUUAAUACUCUUAAUAGUCUAUUCCAUAGUUUAGACUGUAUUUAACAACUCCCUUAUCAUUAGAUAUUUAGGCUUGUCCAGCUUUUUGCUAUCACAAACAGGGAUCUUGGUGUAUAUGUGAAUGUUGGCAGCAGGUUAGCAGAGCACCAGAAGUGGGACUACUGGUCAAACCUUUGCACAAAAAUCAUACAGCCUCUAAUAGCAUUUCCCAGAGAAGAAAAGGGCCUUGUCUGGAACACAGAUCAAGAACUCUUAACUUUUUCUGAUCCAUGCUUUACAUUGCCACUUGAUAAAUACUACAUGUCAUCUCUAAGUACCACUAAAUCUCCCAUCUGGAGAGAUGGGACACUCUCCUUUAUACCUUUGAUGACUUUACUACCCAUGAUAAAAGCAGGAGAUCCCACCUUCCAGCUGCCCCUUCUUAAACAUCUAACUCUGUGCAAGUCCCAACCCUCAUUUAAUCACUUUGCUACUUCAUUGCAUUCAUCACACCAACUUGCAGUUAUUUGUACAGUUGUUCAUCUUCCAUUAGACUGAGCCCUCUGAGGGCAGGAAAUAUUUUUCAUUCUUCUUGGAACUUCCUUUUCCUAACAUAGUGUCUGAGAUGCUCAAUAAACUUUUUUUUGAGUGAAUAAAAAAUAAAUGAGGGAGUAGAAUACCUAGAUGAAUUCAGUUAUAAAAUGGCUCCAGGUACUGAAAUUGUCCAUUUUCAUUUUUAUGUUUUUGCAAUAAGAAAGAUGAACAUGCAUCUCCCCUAGUGCUACUUUUUUCAAAACUAAAUAUUCUAAUUCCAAGGCUUUAUUUCCGUCAAAUAACUACCACUUCCAAAUUCUUCUGUUAUUUUUAUUGUUCUCCAGGAUCUCUCCAUCUCAAUCAUGUCAUACAUUGGAAACAAUUCUCUGACACUUCAUCUAUAUACAAUCAACACUUUGUUAGGCUCUUGUAGCUGCCUCAUUUUUUGUAACACAAUAGAAUACUUGCCUUAAUAAUAAAUUAUAUUUGCCUUACAGUAUGGCUUAUUAGAUACCCAAAAUGUUUUCUGCCAUGCUUUCGAAAUGUUUUGACUGCAUGACAUUCUAUGGUGUUAAAAUUCCCCAAAAUGAAUGAUUUAUACUGCAUUUGCCUUAAUUGGAAUCUAUCCUGUUUUCAUCUUUCCUACUUUGACAGUCAUCUCAAUGUAAAUCCUGUGUCAGAGGUGCUUAUCUGUCUCUUUGCUACUUUUCUUUGAAAACUAAACAUAAACACAAGAAAUUUCACAUAGUAAAACUAGUAAGAUCUGGGUUUAUAAAUAUAAAUGGUGCAUCUGUGGCGGCAGAGCUCUGUCUCCAACUUCUUGGAGAUAAACAAGUUCAUAGUUAGAAAUGCUCUAGAAGUAAACAGGAAACCUGCUACACAAAUUGUGAAAUAUAAGUAUGUUUUAUAGAAGUCCUGAAAUUGUAUUUUUCAACAAGUUAAAACAGAAAAACCUAACACUACCAUAUCCAUUAAAUAUUAAUUCUCUCUUCCUCAAAUGUUUUACUCAUAUCUAUGCCUGUCCCUUUGGAACAUUUUUCAGUCAAAUUCAUAACACUGUCUUGAUUCCAAGCCUCAGGAGAACAUUUGAAUGAAAUUUUCAAAUGCUUCAAUUUUUAUAUCAUCCAAUGUGGAAUUCACAUUUACUGAGCACCUGCAAUGAGCUAGGAUCUGUACUACAUACUUUUAAAAAUACAUUAUUUUUCCUAAGAAAGUUCUGAGGUAGAUAUAUUAUUUUACAGAUGAGGAAACAGAGGUUCAGAGAGGUUAACUGACUUCACAAAAGUCAUAGAGCUACUAGGUAACAGAGCUCAUUGAACAUGGAGCUAGGAUUCAACCCUGGAUCGCCGUGAAGCCAUUUUGUUUCCAUGACAUCAUGACAUUGGUUAUAACACCACAAUUGUUUAGAAUAUAAGGCUUGUUUAGAAUGCAAGGCUUCCUCAAUUCUCCACCCUUCCCCUCUUGACAUCUUGCUCUUCUUCCCUUCAUCUAUUGUGUUAGUCAGGUGCAUGCUGGUCUUCCCUCUAUCAAACUGUAAGCUACUUGGAGACUUGGGAUGCCUCACUCAUCUCUAUUCCCAAACCUCAGGGUCUAUCAUUCUACCUUCUGUAUAGACAGGACUUUCAUAGUUUUGAACAAGUCAGAACCUGAAAGAAUUUGCUUCCAGAACAGGACAUUGACAGGAAAAUUAAGCAUGAUCAUGCCGAGUAAAAUAGGAAUAAGAAUUGGACCUACCUCAAGAUCUGUUGAGAAGAUUAUGAGAGAGCUGAUGGAUCUAAAAGAUUGGCGCUUGAUAGAAUUGGGAUCAUUUGUUUUGACUAGAACAAUCUCUUGCAGCUUGGAUGGAGAAACUUUACAGAGGUUUCAGCCAAACACUCAUGAAUUCUUUAAUGUGUGAAAUAAAGAGCUAAAAUAAUAUCUAAGUUUCCUCUUUGCCUGACGCCAUCCAUGCAAAAUGUGACUUGCUUCUUCAGCAGCAGCAUGAAAACAAACUAAUACACCACUAUUCCUAGGUAAGUAGAGCCACAAUGGGAAGACCACUAAGGGAAUAUGGAGGCUCACAGAGGCUAGUCAAUUUAUCCAAGGCCACGCAGCAAAGCUGGGACUCAAACUCAAAUCUUCUAGUCCUAGUUUCAUUCAGUUUUUUUUUUUUCCUACAUUGAUUCUAGACUUUGUUCUACAAGUGACUACUUUUCUGUUUUGUUCCUGACAUGAACAUGUCCAUGGCUGUCUCAGACUUGUUUGGUUACCCUAAGUAACCAUUUAGCAGCCAAUUUCUGAUAUGACUAUAGAUACAUCUCUAUAAGUGAAUUCUAUAGGUGAUUUGGCAUGAUCAAAAUGAAAAGGCUUUGUUUGAGUUCCCCAAUAUACUGCUCAAAUGAAAGCUUCUCAAAAUAUCAUUUUGAGAUACGACAGGUCUUUCCUUCAAAUACAACAGAUACUUUUCUUUUGCAGCACUCAGCAUACAUACAACUAUUUAUUUAUCUGUAAGUACUUGCUUAGUAUCUGUGAAGAACAUUGCAGGUACCUGACAUAUGUCUAACUGAUGGAGUGAGGCUGCUAAUGUGGCCAUCUCUCCCUCUUCCUGAUAAGAAAGUGAACCAGCCAUUUCAAAAUGUGGAGAAUUCGAUAAAUAUGUUCUACUCCUCUAUAGCCCUCCCACUAAAAUAAUUUUCAAUUUUCAAUUGAGGUGAAAGGAAGAAUCGGCAAAGAGACGGAUUGAGAGAAUUGUUUAUACUCAUAACUUCGUUCUCAACAUAAUUAUCUAUUUCUGAAUCCUAAAAAUCACCUAGCUAGAUUCUCCCUCAAUCUGAAGAUUACCUUUUACUCCUUGAGAUGCUAAAUGUGUUCCUAUUUAUCAUAUUAAUAUUGCGAGUAUUUUGUGUUAUGCAGCCAGAAAAAUCACAUAAUGGGAACUUACCCACAGCCCCCAAACUCAUAAACAGGAGCUGAAUAGAAAUUCCUCAGUGCAAUUUAUGGUAACAAUUUCAUGCUCAGUUUAGUUACUUCCAUGACUCAGAAAAGAAAUUUCUUUUGCUUAUUUCAGUAAUUUUUUUCUAAAAAAUUGUUCCCCUAAUUUUUGGCAAAGGAUCUAUGAGAAAGUGAAGAACUCCCUGGUUGUACAUGGAUUUGGAAUUGUCACUUAAGUGAGGCCAAAAUGUAACCCUAUGCCAUUCAUUGCAUAGUACCAUUUGUUAUAAAUUUGACCUCUAAAACAAAGAUAUUACAAAGCCAUUGAGUGUUUUUUUAAGGGAUAUAUUAUAUUUGUCACUUAGUCCCCAGUAUUAUGAUGGAAAACCUGGAUAGUGGAUAGAAAACCUGGAGGUCAUUUAGGCAUCUCUUUCACUGGUUGGGUGAGAAAUGGUGAAGAAGAUGGGAAUGGAGAAGGGACAUACAUUUGGUAAGUGUAAAUAAGAGUCUUUGCUGAUUAAUUCAGUGUGGCCCAUGAGAAAGAGUGGAAGUGUCCAAGGUUCCCUCAGGUUUACAGCUUGGGCAACUGACUGAGAACAGAAAGGAGCUGCCAUUGAGAGGAAGAAAAGAAAAUGACACUGAGUCCAUGUUGGGACACAUUGGGUUUAAAGGGAUAUCAUUAUGACCUAAGCUCUCUGAAUUCCAGUGACUGGGAAUAUGGGAAGAUACAUCUUUAACAGUUGAAGCAAUUUAUACACUUUAACAAUUGAAGCAAUUUAUACACCAGAGCCUAAGGAAUAUUUAUAGAUGAGGGCUGUGCUGCAAUGACAGAUAGGGUUGUAUGAAACAUACACUAAUCUGACCAUUCUAUCCUCCAGACUCAGGGAAGGAAAUAAUAAAAGUAAGUAACCAUAAAAAAUAGACUUUUAUGCAUAAAUAAAUAAAAAUCAGCUAGGAGACAGUUCAUCCCUGUAUAAGUAAAACAGGCAAAUUUAUCUUUCCUCUGAUUAAUAAUUUAAGAAAAAAUCCCAAGCAAGCUGCCUAUGGAGGUGUAGGAGUAGCUCCUAUAAUUAGACUCCAAUUUGAACCAUGAGGGUGAGGAUCAGAAAGCUGACUCAGAGCCUGGUGUCAAUUAUUUGCAGUUUGUACAACGAAAGGCUAAAAAUUUGGGAGAUGCAGGAUGACUGAAGCCCGAUUCUGGGGGUUGUUACAGCACAGUUACAGGGUAAGUUUUUUCCAUUGUUAUUUGCUGGAAAAUUUAUUCUCCAUCUCCUUUAGUCUGUGCCUGAAUUUUGUGGGACUUGCUCGAGAAUGGUAUUCAUGCUUUAAAUCCAAGAGCCAGGAAUCAUCGCAUUUCAACAAUUUUCCUAUUUAUUUUAACCAAAACAGAGCUGGUUUCUAUAACUCAAUUUAAGAAAUUAUCCUCUUUGAUACAAUCUACUUAUGUUUGAUUGAUUUUAGAAUAAACUAACAGAUACACAAGAGCUUAUCAAGCUAGCUCGGUUCAGUGGAGAACUAUAGCAGAAACAGCAGGUUUCUAUUUGGCACAUUUUGGAUUUAUCUGGACGCAAGAGGAUGUGAAAAGAACACCUUUCAGACAAAAGCCAGUCUUGAGUAGGAAUUUAGUGUUCCUUGCCCAAACAGCUUAGUUUGUUUCCCAUUUUGAGUCACUAUCUGAAUCCUUUUUUAUCUCCUAUAUAGAACAAAUUCUCUCCCUCUAUUUAAUAGGCUUUCAGAUAUGAAACAGAGAGAGAGAGAGAGAGAGGAAGGAAGGAAGGGAGGGAGGGAAAGAGAAAGGGAAAGAAGGAAGGAAAAGCUCUAAUUUCUUCUGUUCUUUUGGUAACACACCUCCCCUUCACAUCCUUCAGCUGCUCCCCUUAGGGCUUUUUGUAGACACUUUUGGUGGUCUCUCCUCUCACACACUGCUCACCACUGUACUUUAUUUUGUAUCAUCUGUCUCCAUCCUUUCCCAACUCCUGAGCACUCAGCCUCCUCUGGAUCUUUUCUGGUUCCUUCGCUCCUAGAACUGUGUCUGAUGGCUUAUGAAGGCAAAUGACAAAUGUUUGCCAUAUGCACAUGUAUGUGCAUGAAUGAAUACAUCCAGGUUCUGACUUCCUCGGGGCAACCUCUACUUUCUCAAUGCCCCUCUUAAGAUGGGGGUGGGGGAGGGUCCUCCUAGAACUGAACAUGAUAUUCCAGGUGUGAUCUAAUACAUUUAAAUGUCCAAAAGCUCUUUCUUCCCUAAACGUUCCUUUUUAAAAGCUACUGUUCUCAAUUAAUGGGUGUCUCAUCUUCUUAAGUAUAUUAAUAAGAGGUAUUUUGAUGUUUCCCUCCAUUCUGUGGAUUACCUCUUGAUUCUCUGGAUUCUUUGUGAUUCCGUUUUGUUUUAAGGAUGUUCUCAGGUGUCUGGUGAUCCUUGCUUAUAAGUCCAAAUUAAUGAUGAGGCACUAAAAUGCUGAUUGGAAGCUCUCUGUGCAGGCAGGUAUUGUUGAAUAGUGGUAAACAGGGGACAUGUUCAUUUUGGAGACACUCAAAUAUCAGGACCUAUAAAUCUCUAUGCCAAGUCAGUUUCCCCAGAGUCUCUUAAUAUCAUUUCUUUCAGGUUAAAAGCCUGGUUACCAGGUUCUGGGAGUGAAGGGAGGAGUGGGGCUUAGACAAGGGUGGGGGCGGGGGUAUGUCUCACAAUUCACUAAAUACCUUCUUUUAUAUAUGUGUUCUCUGUGCAGCAUUUUACCCCCACCAUCGUCCAUGUCUGAUGCCUCAGGUUCAAUCUUGUUCAGUCUUUCCAAAGAGGAAACAUUGGUUGGGUGGGAAUGAUUGGCAGGUCGAAGAGAGAAUUUGAAGCUAUAGCUGCUCCUUUUAAAACUUCUAACUCAUCUUUGUUUUUUCAGGCCUUCCUCACACCCAUGUCUUCAGAUACCCAAGGCCUUUAAUACCCAAGUCCUUCCAGGAUUCUGCACAUCUCAUUAGCUUCAUAUUCCCGUAAGUACUUGGGUUUCUGCUUUCUCAGCUCUGAUGUGUCAUUUUCUAAUCAAUCAUCAGCAUUCCAGCUUCCAAAGUUUUGUUCAUAUAUCUUACAUGUGUUGUCUUGACCGACUUCUUUUUGGACCUUAGAUUAUUUACCUAUUUAAAUUCCUUAAUUGUUACUUUAGUGGAGUUUUGGAAGGGAACAAAAAUAUAGGCAGGUGUUUAUCACAUUUAACAAGGAACUCAAAAUUUAUAUUUAAUUCUAUUUAAUCUGGCUGCCUUCUUGCCAUCAGUCUAUUUGAAAAGUUCAUAUGGACCCAGCUCUGUCAUCAUCACAUGUUCUAUAUCCCCAAACCUUGUGACAUCUGCAAAGAAGUACAGAAGACCUCAAGAGAAGAUAAGCUAGAAUUUAUUUAUUUUUAUACCUUUUAUUCAGUUUUUAUUAAAGCUUUCCUACCUUUCCAGAUUGACACAGAAUUAUUCCAUGAAUCUGUCUAUUAAUCCAUUUACAGCAAGUGCUGGGGAUAGAAAUUAAGGUUUAAACAUAUAAUUCCUGCCAUCAAAGGACUCCCUGUUGAUUAGGGGACACAGGCAAGAAAAUAGACAGUAAGUUUGUUAAGGCAUGAACAAAGAACUGUGUUGGUACACACAGUACAGAGAGGAAGUACAAAGAGGAUGGUGCUUAAGAAGAGUUAACACCUAGACCUAAUCUUAGAGGAUGAGGAAGCAUUGGGUAGACUAGAAGACUAGGUGUAGGGGUAAAGGAAGGCAUAUCAGAGAAAAGGGAGCAGCUACAUAGAGGCAAGGACUAUGCCUCUUCUGCCUCUGAAGAGGAGAAAUUUCUUUCAAUCAAUAGAAAGUGCAGGACAAAGGGUACUAAGUCAUCUUUUGAUGGGAUAACUUGAUGUUAGUGUCCUUCCAUGAGAAAAUGGGAAGCAGCCCCUUAUAAUAAAACCUCUGGCUUUUGAAUUACCAAGUAAAACUGAGGUGUCAGCAACCCUUGGCUGAAUGUGGAACUUGCUAAUAGAACCCCUACAUUCAUGGGAAGGGAUAAAAGAGCUUUAAAAAGUACAAAAGCAUUGUGUGAAUAUAUGGGAUUAAUAUUACUACUACAAUAUUGCCUACCACCACCAUCCCCAGCCCUGAGGAGUCUUCUUAAACUUACAAAAUGAAGCUGCUUCUCUAUGGAUGUAGACAUUUCCUGGUUUCAACAUUGCACCAUAGCUAUGCAUUAUGUCAACAUUGGGAAAAGGCAGGGUGGAAGGUGCACAGGAGCUCUCUGUACAUUUCUUUGAAACUUCCUUUAUACCUUUUAAAAGUUAAAAAGCAGCAGCAGUGGCAGCUUCUCAAGGCCAAAGAUGGGGAGCUCUAUUUCAUUUGCAUUUCUACUCAGGGCUAUAAUGAAUUGAACUCAAUGUGUUGCUAAAGAUUAUUAUGAAAUUAAAAUCCAAUUAGGAUGGUCUCGUGGGUCUGGUAAAAGCUUGGAUUAGAGACCAGGCACAACACGGGGUUGGGGGAGAUGGACUGCUCAAUAGAAGUAGGGCUGAGUGGGGAGUUUAAAGCACUGGCCUCUAAGUAUAGGAACCACUGUACAAAUUUUAAAAUAUACUCAGGAUAGUUAAUAUUUGAUCAAAAUCCACUGUGAAGUGAGGAAUUUUUCCUGCUGGGCAUUCUAUUUUCCAGUUCUAUGAUCAAGCCCAGUGACUGGUAAAUACAAUAUGCCCCACUAGCCCCCAGCUUCUCCCAGCUCCUGUUCCCUCCUGGUGCUCAAAGGGAGAAAGGCUAAGAAAUUCCAAGCCCUGGUCAGGAAAGUGAUCUUGAAAUCACACACAAUGAAUAGUGCCAUCACUAAUGACUCAGCUUGUAAAGAACCAGUGAAGUGAGGAAAUUCUUUCUAUGCACAGAAUGUCUAGAUAUUUAGGCAAAAUUGAAGGGGAUGAGGCAGGAAUAACCAGGACAAACUCAGUAAGAACUUCAACCCUGGUUUUCUCAAGAUUCAGUUUAUGUGCUGAUCAUUUUCUCUCAUAUCUAAUUCCCUUACUUCCCCUGCUCUGUUUUACAUCGAAAGUGCUGACUUCAUGCAAAUUACAUGCAAUUUGCAUGUAAUUUGGAAUUUGCUCCCUGGGAAAAUCACUUCUGACUAGGUUCAGCCAAUGGGAGGCACUAACAGGAGAUUGGAGGGUAGGAGGAAGGGAGGCAUAAGGGAAUUUCUUUCCCCUCUCUGUUUCAGGUGGCAUUUCAAGAAUGUCUGUUUUUCCUCCAUGAUUUCUAUAGAUAUUCCUUAAUUUUCAAGUCUCCAUUAGCAUAGGUAUGAAGGUUUCUCAAUGUGCUCUUGCUUUGGCUUCCUUUAGUCAGAAUAGAAAGAGAAAGUUUUUUAACUUUAUUCAAACAUAUUAGGGGUUUGCUAGAGAAUACAUUAUUUGCCCCUAGUUAUCCUGAUGUUAUAAAAGGAGGCAGACCUGGACAAGUGUAAAUUAGCACAGACAUUCUAACAAUCACCAGAAAAAUGCACCCAUAAGUAGUGCCAAUGCAAGAAGUUUUGACUGUAAUGCCCGUGUGCAGUAGGCUGAAUGAUGGCCCCCAAGUAUAUCUAUAUCCUAAUCCCGAGAACUUGUGAAUGUUACUUGCUAUGCUGAAAGGGACUUUGAAGGUGUGAUUAAGGGUUUUGAGAUGGGGAGAUUUUCCUGGAUUAUAUGAAUGUGUCCUAAAUAUAAUCACACAGGUCCAUGUAAGAGGUAGGCAAGGUCAAAGGAGGAAAUAGAAGGUAAGAUAAUGAAAACAAGAGGUUGGAGGGCUGUGAGGAAGGGGGUCACAAGCCAAGAAGCAUAGGUGGCCUAGAGAAGCUAGAAAACACAAAGAAAUGGAUUUCUUAUAGAGUCUUCACGGGGGACUAGCCUUGCUCACACCUUGACUUUAGCCUAGUGAAACUGAUUUCAGACUUCUGGCCUCCAAAACUGUAAGAGAAUAGAACUGUGCUG
This 9870-nucleotide long non-coding RNA is filed under the name Homo sapiens (human). Its description in RNAcentral is "HSALNT0364187". Lineage: Eukaryota; Metazoa; Chordata; Mammalia; Primates; Hominidae. The record is from RNAcentral.